AGGGCGCACGGUGGAUGCCUUGACACUAGGAGUCGAUGAAGGACGGGACUAACGCCGAUAUGCUUCGGGGAGCUGUAAGUAAGCUUUGAUCCGAAGAUUUCCGAAUGGGGAAACCCACCAUACGUAAUGGUAUGGUAUCCUUAUCUGAAUACAUAGGGUAAGGAAGACAGACCCAGGGAACUGAAACAUCUAAGUACCUGGAGGAAGAGAAAGCAAAUGCGAUUUCCUGAGUAGCGGCGAGCGAAACGGAACAUAGCCCAAACCAAGAGGCUUGCCUCUUGGGGUUGUAGGACAUUCUAUACGGAGUUACAAAGGAACGAGGUAGACGAAGCGACCUGGAAAGGUCCGUCGUAGAGGGUAACAACCCCGUAGUCGAAACUUCGUUCUCUCUUGAAUGUAUCCUGAGUACGGCGGAACACGUGAAAUUCCGUCGGAAUCUGGGAGGACCAUCUCCCAAGGCUAAAUACUCCCUAGUGAUCGAUAGUGAACCAGUACCGUGAGGGAAAGGUGAAAAGCACCCCGGAAGGGGAGUGAAAGAGAUCCUGAAACCGUGUGCCUACAAAUAGUCAGAGCCCGUUAACGGGUGAUGGCGUGCCUUUUGUAGAAUGAACCGGCGAGUUACGAUCCCGUGCGAGGUUAAGCUGAAGAGGCGGAGCCGCAGCGAAAGCGAGUCUGAAUAGGGCGUUUAGUACGUGGUCGUAGACCCGAAACCAGGUGAUCUACCCAUGUCCAGGGUGAAGUUCAGGUAACACUGAAUGGAGGCCCGAACCCACGCACGUUGAAAAGUGCGGGGAUGAGGUGUGGGUAGCGGAGAAAUUCCAAUCGAACCUGGAGAUAGCUGGUUCUCCCCGAAAUAGCUUUAGGGCUAGCCUUAAGUGUAAGAGUCUUGGAGGUAGAGCACUGAUUGGACUAGGGGUCCUCAUCGGAUUACCGAAUUCAGUCAAACUCCGAAUGCCAAUGACUUAUCCUUAGGAGUCAGACUGCGAGUGAUAAGAUCCGUAGUCAAAAGGGAAACAGCCCAGACCGCCAGCUAAGGUCCCAAAGUGUGUAUUAAGUGGAAAAGGAUGUGGAGUUGCUUAGACAACUAGGAUGUUGGCUUAGAAGCAGCCACCAUUUAAAGAGUGCGUAAUAGCUCACUAGUCGAGUGACUCUGCGCCGAAAAUGUACCGGGGCUAAAUACACCACCGAAGCUGCGGAUUGAUACCGAAUGGUAUCAGUGGUAGGGGAGCGUUCUAAGGACAGUGAAGUCAGACCGGAAGGACUGGUGGAGUGCUUAGAAGUGAGAAUGCCGGUAUGAGUAGCGAAAGACGGGUGAGAAUCCCGUCCACCGAAUGCCUAAGGUUUCCUGAGGAAGGCUCGUCCGCUCAGGGUUAGUCAGGACCUAAGCCGAGGCCGACAGGCGUAGGCGAUGGACAACAGGUUGAUAUUCCUGUACCACCUCUUUAUCGUUUGAGCAAUGGAGGGACGCAGAAGGAUAGAAGAAGCGUGCGAUUGGUUGUGCACGUCCAAGCAGUUAGGCUGAUAAGUAGGCAAAUCCGCUUAUCGUAAAGGCUGAGCUGUGAUGGGGAAGCUCCUUAUGGAGCGAAGUCUUUGAUUCCCCGCUGCCAAGAAAAGCUUCUAGCGAGAUAAAAGGUGCCUGUACCGCAAACCGACACAGGUAGGCGAGGAGAGAAUCCUAAGGUGUGCGAGAGAACUCUGGUUAAGGAACUCGGCAAAAUGACCCCGUAACUUCGGGAGAAGGGGUGCUUUCUUAACGGAAAGCCGCAGUGAAUAGGCCCAAGCGACUGUUUAGCAAAAACACAGCUCUCUGCGAAGCCGUAAGGCGAAGUAUAGGGGGUGACACCUGCCCGGUGCUGGAAGGUUAAGGAGAGGGGUUAGCGUAAGCGAAGCUCUGAACUGAAGCCCCAGUAAACGGCGGCCGUAACUAUAACGGUCCUAAGGUAGCGAAAUUCCUUGUCGGGUAAGUUCCGACCCGCACGAAAGGUGUAACGAUUUGGGCACUGUCUCAACCAGAGACUCGGUGAAAUUAUAGUACCUGUGAAGAUGCAGGUUACCCGCGACAGGACGGAAAGACCCCGUGGAGCUUUACUGUAGCCUGAUAUUGAAUUUUGGUACAGUUUGUACAGGAUAGGCGGGAGCCAUUGAAACCGGAGCGCUAGCUUCGGUGGAGGCGCUGGUGGGAUACCGCCCUGACUGUAUUGAAAUUCUAACCUACGGGUCUUAUCGACCCGGGAGACAGUGUCAGGUGGGCAGUUUGACUGGGGCGGUCGCCUCCUAAAGUGUAACGGAGGCGCCCAAAGGUUCCCUCAGAAUGGUUGGAAAUCAUUCGUAGAGUGCAAAGGCAUAAGGGAGCUUGACUGCGAGACCUACAAGUCGAGCAGGGACGAAAGUCGGGCUUAGUGAUCCGGUGGUUCCGCAUGGAAGGGCCAUCGCUCAACGGAUAAAAGCUACCCCGGGGAUAACAGGCUUAUCUCCCCCAAGAGUCCACAUCGACGGGGAGGUUUGGCACCUCGAUGUCGGCUCAUCGCAUCCUGGGGCUGUAGUCGGUCCCAAGGGUUGGGCUGUUCGCCCAUUAAAGCGGUACGCGAGCUGGGUUCAGAACGUCGUGAGACAGUUCGGUCCCUAUCCGUCGUGGGCGUAGGAAAUUUGAGAGGAGCUGUCCUUAGUACGAGAGGACCGGGAUGGACGCACCGCUGGUGUACCAGUUGUUCUGCCAAGGGCAUAGCUGGGUAGCUAUGUGCGGAAGGGAUAAGUGCUGAAAGCAUCUAAGCAUGAAGCCCCCCUCAAGAUGAGAUUUCCCAUAGCGUAAGCUAGU
RNAcentral lists this ribosomal RNA (2815 nucleotides) under Bacillus cereus. RNAcentral describes it as "bacterial LSU rRNA". It matches the Rfam family "Bacterial large subunit ribosomal RNA". Lineage: Bacteria; Bacillati; Bacillota; Bacilli; Caryophanales; Bacillaceae. The record is from RNAcentral.